CUGGAGGUAUCAGAAGUGCGAAUGCUGACAUAAGUAACGAUAAAGCGGGUGAAAAGCCCGCUCGCCGGAAGACCAAGGGUUCCUGUCCAACGUUAAUCGGGGCAGGGUGAGUCGACCCCUAAGGCGAGGCCGAAAGGCGUAGUCGAUGGGAAACGGGUUAAUAUUCCCGUACUUGGUGUUACUGCGAAGGGGGGACGGAGAAGGCUAUGUUGGCCGGGCGACGGUUGUCCCGGUUUAAGCGUGUAGGUGUGUGUUCCAGGUAAAUCCGGUUCACUUUAACACUGAGGCGUGAUGACGAGGCACUACGGUGCUGAAGCAACAAAUGCCCUGCUUCCAGGAAAAGCCUCUAAGCAUCAGGUAACAUCAAAUCGUACCCCAAACCGACACAGGUGGUCAGGUAGAGAAUACCAAGGCGCUUGAGAGAACUCGGGUGAAGGAACUAGGCAAAAUGGUGCCGUAA
Molecule: ribosomal RNA, 460 nt
Filed under: Salmonella enterica
Lineage: Bacteria; Pseudomonadati; Pseudomonadota; Gammaproteobacteria; Enterobacterales; Enterobacteriaceae
Also listed under: 2 other names
Description: partial 23S ribosomal RNA
Rfam family: Bacterial large subunit ribosomal RNA
Source: RNAcentral